This 271-nucleotide ribosomal RNA is filed under the name Pseudomonas sp. BC2_KB2D4. RNAcentral's name for it is "partial 16S ribosomal RNA". It matches the Rfam family "Bacterial small subunit ribosomal RNA", at positions 1076 to 1346 of the family's 1533-position model. Lineage: Bacteria; Pseudomonadati; Pseudomonadota; Gammaproteobacteria; Pseudomonadales; Pseudomonadaceae. The record is from RNAcentral.
UGGGUUAAGUCCCGUAACGAGCGCAACCCUUGUCCUUAGUUACCAGCACGUUAUGGUGGGCACUCUAAGGAGACUGCCGGUGACAAACCGGAGGAAGGUGGGGAUGACGUCAAGUCAUCAUGGCCCUUACGGCCUGGGCUACACACGUGCUACAAUGGUCGGUACAAAGGGUUGCCAAGCCGCGAGGUGGAGCUAAUCCCAUAAAACCGAUCGUAGUCCGGAUCGCAGUCUGCAACUCGACUGCGUGAAGUCGGAAUCGCUAGUAAUCGCG